Molecule: ribosomal RNA, 842 nt
Filed under: uncultured Gammaproteobacteria bacterium
Lineage: Bacteria; Pseudomonadati; Pseudomonadota; Gammaproteobacteria
Description: bacterial SSU rRNA
Rfam family: Bacterial small subunit ribosomal RNA
Source: RNAcentral
GCUGGCGGCAGCCCUUACACAUGCAAGUCGAGCGAGAAAGUUUCUUCGGAAGCGAGUAAAGCGGCGGACGGGUGAGUAACGCGUAGGAAUCUACCAUUCAGUGGGGGAUAGCUCGGGGAAACCCGAAUUAAUACCGCAUAUACCCUAAGGGGGAAAGAGGGCCUAUCCUUGGAAGCUCUUGCUGUUUGAUGAGCCUGCGUGAGAUUAGUUUGUUGGUGAGGUAAUGGCUCACCAAGACUACGAUCUCUAGCUGGUCUGAGAGGACGAUCAGCCACACUGGGACUGAGACACGGCCCAGACUCCUACGGGAGGCAGCAGUGGGGAAUAUUGGACAAUGGGGGCAACCCUGAUCCAGGCAUGCCGCGUGUGUGAAGAAGGCCUUCGGGUUGUAAAGCACUUUAGGUAAGGAAGAAAAGUUAUUGGUUAACACCUAAUGACCGUGACAUUACUUACAGAAUAAGGACCGGCUAACUCCGUGCCAGCAGCCGCGGUAAUACGGAGGGUCCAAGCGUUAAUCGGAAUUACUGGGCGUAAAGCGCGCGUAGGCGGUUUGACAAGUUGGGUGUGAAAUCCCCGGGCUUAACCUGGGAACUGCAUUCAAAACUUUUAAACUGGAGUACGGGAGAGGAGAGUAGAAUUCAUGGUGUAGCGGUGAAAUGCGUAGAUAUCAUGAGGAAUACCAAUGGCGAAGGCAACUCUCUGGACCGUAACUGACGCUGAGGUGCGAAAGCGUGGGUAGCAAACAGGAUUAGAUACCCUGGUAGUCCACGCCGUAAACGAUGACAACUAGCCGUUGGACUUUCGGGUUCAGUGGCACAGCUAACGCAUUAAGUUGUCCGCCU